AUAAAACUACUUUUUUUUCCCAUCUUGCAAGAUGGCGGGUGAAAAAACUGAGAAGCCGGAUACUAAGGAGAAGAAACCCCAAGCCAAGAAGGCUGAUGCUGGUGGCCAGGUUAAGAAGGGGAACCUCAAGGCUAAGACUCCUAAGAAGGGGAAGCCCCGCUGCAGCCAAAACCCUGUCUUUGUCAGAGGGAUUGGCAGGUAUUUCCGGUCAGCCAUGUAUUCCUGAAAAGCCAUGUACAAGAGGAAAUACUCUGCAGCUAAAUCCAGGAUUGAAAAGAAAAAGAAGGAGAAAGUUAUGGCUACUGUCACUAAACCAGUUGGUGGUGACAAGGAUGGUGGUACUCAAGUGGUUAAACUUCACAAAAUGCCUAGAUACUAUCCCACUGAAGACCUGCCUAGAAAGCUGCUGAGCCAUGGCAAGAAACCCUUCAGUCAGCACAGGAGAAAUCUGUGGGCAGAUCUGAAGAGC
This is a long non-coding RNA of Phyllostomus discolor (pale spear-nosed bat), 469 nucleotides long. RefSeq lists it as uncharacterized. The transcript is spliced from 3 exons. Lineage: Eukaryota; Metazoa; Chordata; Mammalia; Chiroptera; Phyllostomidae. The record is from RefSeq and is a predicted model, not a curated record.